GAUGAACGCUAGCUACAGGCUUAACACAUGCAAGUCGAGGGGAAACGACAUCGAAAGCUUGCUUUUGGUGGGCGUCGACCGGCGCACGGGUGAGUAACGCGUAUCCAACCUGCCCACCACUUGGGGAUAACCUUGCGAAAGUAAGACUAAUACCCAAUGAUAUCCCACGAAGGCAUCCGAAUGGGAUUAAAGAUUUAUCGGUGAUGGAUGGGGAUGCGUCUGAUUAGCUUGUUGGCGGGGUAACGGCCCACCAAGGCAACGAUCAGUAGGGGUUCUGAGAGGAAGGUCCCCCCACAUUGGAACUGAGACACGGUCCAAACUCCUACGGGAGGCAGCAGUGAGGAAUAUUGGUCAAUGGGCGAGAGUCUGAACCAGCCAAGUAGCGUGCAGGACGACGGCCCCUAUGGGGUUGUAAACUGCUUUUAUAAGGGAAUAAAAGUGAGCUACGUGUAGCUUUUUGCAUGUACCUUAUGAAUAAGGACCGGCUAAUUCCGUG
RNAcentral lists this ribosomal RNA (496 nucleotides) under uncultured bacterium. RNAcentral describes it as "bacterial SSU rRNA". It matches the Rfam family "Bacterial small subunit ribosomal RNA", at positions 28 to 507 of the family's 1533-position model. The record is from RNAcentral.